AGUUGUAAUGUUUCACAAAUAAUAUAUAGGGGAUAUUCCCUCCGUUUCGGAUUACUUGUCGUUUUAGACUUCGGCACACAGAUUAAAAAAACAUUUAAUUUUAUAUAUUUACUAGAUAAAAACAUCAUUACCAAUACACUUAACCACGUUUCAACCAAUUAAAAAUAUAUUAAAAUAUAAAAUCAAUAAAUUUUGCAUUGAAAUUAUAAAUCGACAUUUAUUUUGAAACAAAAUUUUUACCAACAGACAAAUAAUCUGAAACGGAGGAAGUACUAAAUAUGAUUUUAUUGACUGUAAUACUUUGACCCAAAAAAUGACUGUAAUACAUUUUAUUUAAGGCAAAUCUCCAAAAUAGCACAUUUCUAAGUUUAUAUCACAAAAAUAGCACUCAAAAACUAAAAUGACCAAAAUAACAUCUUUCUAAGUUUAUCCUUUGAAAAUUUUAAUUUUUUUAUUUUUCAAAAUUUGAAAUCUUAUCCCCAAAACCUCAUUUCUCAACUCUAAACCCUAAACCCUAAACUCUAAAUCCUAAACCCUAAACUCUAAACCCUAAACCGUAAACCCUAAACUCUAAACCCUAAACUAUAAACUCCAAACUCUAAACCCUAAACCCUAAAUCCUAAACCCCACCCU
This 633-nucleotide long non-coding RNA is filed under the name Brassica napus (rape). Its description in RNAcentral is "long non-coding RNA (BNAP_LNC022232)". Lineage: Eukaryota; Viridiplantae; Streptophyta; Magnoliopsida; Brassicales; Brassicaceae. The record is from RNAcentral.